CCUACUGUAUUAUCCCAAAGCUCUUCUCGAAACAUAUGCAGGAAUCACUUCACCCAACAUUGAUACGCAUCCAACCCUGGGGCAGAAUGUGUCAGCUGUUUAGCAGUGCAAAGACUGAUGGGGUCAGGCAGAUUUGUACGUUGAAGAUACUGUUAAAUACUCCACUGAUGGCAUUGAAAAUCGAGCUCAGAGGCCUCUGGAUGAAAUUCGGCAGUGAUCCAUCAGUCCAUCUCAGAGAAGUACCCUGCAGAAAAGUAAUACAGAAGUUUAAUGAGAACUGCAGAGAGAACAGAACUGGGUUGUCCUUUUGUCUUCAUAACUGGCGAGGUUCACAAGGAAAUCAUUCUGAGCUGCACUGGAGAUGCUGGUGA
RNAcentral lists this long non-coding RNA (371 nucleotides) under Chrysemys picta bellii (western painted turtle). RNAcentral describes it as "lncRNA (ENSCPBG00000013574.1)". Lineage: Eukaryota; Metazoa; Chordata; Testudines; Emydidae. The record is from RNAcentral.